AGAACAGGGCAAAAAAGAAAUCGCUCACGGUUGGAGGGAUUUCCGGUGCUGUUGCUGAGCUGCAAAAAAAUUUUGCCAACUUGGGCGUCUCGGUGUUGGUUAUUCUAUAUAUUUAUAUGUUCCCCUGAUUUAAUGUCUUAGUAAAGAAAUAUUUACUGUGCGUGUUCUAGACUACAUCCAGAAGUAGCUAGCUAGCCAGUAAGAAGCAUGUCUGAAGCCACCGUGGCCGACACUCGCCGGUUAAACUCCAAGCCGCAGGACCUGACGGACGCUUACGGACCUCCGAGUAAUUUCCUGGAGAUUGACGUCUACGAUCCGCAGACUGUCGGCGUCGGGAGGAACCGAUUCACCACCUACGAAGUCCGCAUGAGGACCAACCUCCCCAUUUUCAAGUUGAAAGAAUCUUGCGUGCGAAGAAGGUACAGUGACUUUGAGUGGCUGAAAAAUGAGCUGGAACGAGACAGUAAGAUUGUUGUGCCUCCUCUCCCUGGGAAGGCACUGAAGAGGCAGCUCCCUUUCCGUGGAGAUGAGGGAAUAUUUGAGGAGUCGUUCAUUGAAGAGAGGAGAGUCGGACUUGAACAGUUCAUCAACAGAAUUGCUGGUCAUCCCUUGGCUCAGAACGAGCGCUGUCUUCACAUGUUCCUGCAGGAGGAGAGCAUCGAUCGCAACUACAUCCCUGGAAAAGUAUGAAUGAAGGGUUUUUUUUGUUUGUUUUUUUUGCAAGCUGUUUGCAUGUGUUGACCGCAUGAAUGUUCCUUCAGAUGCUACAGUAAGACUAAGGCGCCUCCUCCCCUCAGAAGACUGCCUCAUCUCUGUGCUUAUACUUGCCUAGCACGCUUACUCAGGUGCUCUUAAACAAAACACUGAACCCAAUUCUGAAAAAGACAACCUACAGUCAUAAUUUUUUUGCAGUCCAGGCUUUACCUUCUUUUAAAAAAAUGAUCUAAAUUGUUUAGAGGCCCUACAAUAUUGACUUGAAUAGACUGCACGAGUAUGUCACAUUGCAUGAAUGAUUUCUAUCAUGUUCAUUCACGGUAAGGACCAUUCUAUAACUGGUAGCCCAGUCCCCUAAAGUCUGUCUAUGCCCCGGUCACGUAGAUCCUCAUCCAGUAGGCCUCAUUCGCUGCGUUAUUCCAAAACGACAUAUAAAACGUGUUCAACAUGUAGCACGGCAGACGUGAGGAGUGAAUUUGGGACCACGCAUCAUUCUCGUUCCAUGUUUCAUUUAUGCACCUUUUCGAACAAUAUGUUUUUCUUCUUUUUUUUUUAUAUCAAAAAGUAGUGUUAAGGCAUUGUGUGUUUUCUCGGCUUCUCUCUUUAUGUCGGUGUUGGAGCACUGCGUUUGGGAUCGUACACCUUCAGUCAAAAUAAAAAUCACUGAGGCUCGCUGCCUUUUUCCUCAUCCUUCUCAAGAUUAGUUCUUGUUUUUAUAAAGAUUUCUAAUAAUGCUGAUUCCAAACUAUAUACAUCGAACGUGUACAAGUGUAGUACUUCAUUUUCGUGAUUUGUCUUGUCAUUUCUGCCCCCUUGAAUUAAACUUCCUCUGCCUGCUUUA
Molecule: RNA transcript, 1555 nt
Organism: Silurus meridionalis
Lineage: Eukaryota; Metazoa; Chordata; Actinopteri; Siluriformes; Siluridae
Gene: snx12
Gene name: sorting nexin 12
Exons: 7
Source: RefSeq, a predicted model, not a curated record